RNAcentral lists this non-coding RNA (30 nucleotides) under Rattus norvegicus (Norway rat). Lineage: Eukaryota; Metazoa; Chordata; Mammalia; Rodentia; Muridae. The record is from RNAcentral.
UGUCAUGGACCUCCACUGUUUCAGGACAUA